CCUACGGGAGGCAGCAGUGAGGAAUAUUGGUCAAUGGCCGCAGGGCUGAACCAGCCAAGUCGCGUGAGGGAUGACGGUCCUAUGGAUGGUAAACCUCUUUUGUCAGGGAGCAAAGGGCGCCACGUGUGGCGGGUUGCGAGUACCUGAAGAAAAAGCAUCGGCUAACUCCGUGCCAGCAGCCGCGGUAAUACGGAGGAUGCGAUCGUUAUCCGGAUUUAUUGGGUUGAAAGGGUGCGCAGGCGGCAUGUCAAGUCAGCGGUAAAAUUUCGGGGCUCAACCCCGCCGUGCCGUCGGAACUGGCGUUCUUGAGUGCGCCAGAAGUAUGCGGAAUGCGUGGUGUAGCGGUGAAAUGCAGAGAUAUCGCGCAGAACUCCGAUUGCGAAGGCAGCAUGCCGGCGCUCAACUGACGCUCAUGCACGAAAGCGUGGGUAUCGAACAGGAUUAGAUACCCUUGUAGUC
This 459-nucleotide ribosomal RNA is filed under the name uncultured bacterium. Its description in RNAcentral is "partial 16S ribosomal RNA". It matches the Rfam family "Bacterial small subunit ribosomal RNA", at positions 338 to 795 of the family's 1533-position model. The record is from RNAcentral.